UAGCACGGACUUCGGUCUGGUGGCGAGUGGCGAACGGGUGAGUAAUGUAUCGGAACGUGCCCUAUUGGCGGGGAUAACUACGCGAAAGCGUAGCUAAUACAUACGCCCUUCCCGAAAGCGGGGACCUUCCCGGGCCUCGCAUAUUAAACGGCCGAUAUCGGAUUAGCUAGUUGGUGGAGCUAACGGCUCACCAAGACGACGAUCCGUAGCUGGUUUGAAGGGACGACCAGCCACACUGGGACUGAGACACGGCCCAGACUCACUGCGGGAGGCAACAGUGGGGGAAUUUUGGACAGUAAACCUGAUCCAGCCAUCCCGCGUGUGCGAUGAAGGCGGGUUUGUAAAGCACUUUUGGCGGGAAAGAAACGGCACAGGAUAAUACCCCCGAUGCAACUGACCAAUACCUGCAGAAUAAGCACCGGCUAACUACGUGCCAGCAGCCGCUGAUAUUACGUAAGUGCAAGCGUUAAUCGGAAUUACUGGGCGUAAAGCGUGCGCAGGCGGUUCGGAAAGAAAGAUGUGAAAUCCCAGAGCUUAACUUUGGAACUGCAUUUUUAACUACCGAGCUAGAGUGUGUCAGGGGAGAGUGGAAUUCCGCGAUGUAGCAGUGAAAUACGUAGAUAUACGGAGGAACACCGAUAAGCGAAGGCGACCUCCUGGGAUAACACUGACAACCAUGCACGAAAGCCGUGGGGAGCAAACGGGAUUAGAUACCCUGGUGAUCCACGCCCUAAACGAUGUCAGCUAGCUGUUGGGGCCUUCGGGCCUUGGUAGCGCAGCUAACGCGUGAAGUUGACCACCUGGGAAGUACGGUCGCAAAGAUUAAAACUCAAAGGAAUUGACGGGGACCCGCACAAGCGGUGGAUGAUGUGGAUUAAUUCGAUGCAACGCGAAAACCUUACCUACCAUGACAUAUGGAAUCCGAAGAGAUUUGGGAGUGCUGCUAGAGAACCGGAACACAGGUGCUGCAUGGCUGUCGUCAGCUCGUGUCGUGAGAUGUUGGGUUAAGUCCCGCAACGAGCGCAGCCCUUGUCAUUGGUUGCCACGAAGAACUCUAAUGAGACUGCCGGUGACAGAGCCCGGAAGGUGGGGAUGACGUCAAGUCCUCGUAACCCUGGGUAGGGCUUCACACGUCAUACAAUGGUCAGGACAGAGGGUCGCCAACCCGCAGUCAAUCCCAGAAACCCGAUCGUAGUCCGGAUCGCAGUCUGCAACUCGACUACGUGAAGUCGGAGAUCCUUAGUAAUCACCGGAUCAGCAUGUCGCGGUGAAACGUUCCAGAUGUACGCCAAUGUUGUCAGAAUUGGGUUUUACCAGAAAGUAGUUAGCCUAACCGUAAGGAGGGCGAUUACCACGACGGAUUCAUGACUAGGGUGAAGUCGUAACAAGGUAG
Molecule: ribosomal RNA, 1393 nt
Filed under: uncultured Bordetella sp.
Lineage: Bacteria; Pseudomonadati; Pseudomonadota; Betaproteobacteria; Burkholderiales; Alcaligenaceae
Description: partial 16S-23S ribosomal RNA intergenic spacer
Rfam family: Bacterial small subunit ribosomal RNA
Source: RNAcentral